Molecule: unclassified non-coding RNA, 575 nt
Filed under: Hevea brasiliensis (rubber tree)
Lineage: Eukaryota; Viridiplantae; Streptophyta; Magnoliopsida; Malpighiales; Euphorbiaceae
Source: RNAcentral
GUGGGAUCAAAGGAAAUGGCUCUGUCCAUUGUUUGCAAUGAAAUUAAUGAGUUAGUUGCACAUAUGUGUAUUAGCCUGUGUUGUUUAUAAUUGAAUUAGGAUUUCUAUACCCAACCCAAACUUCUUUCAACUGGCUUAAAGGUGCCAAAUUUAAAAUGCUUCAGAUAUGCAUCAGUGAUACUCUUUCUUCUUCAUUUUCCUUUUUCAUUUCCUAUAACUGUUUGGAAAGCCAAAUCUCCUAAUACCCUCCACUCGUAUACAUUCUACUUCUCCCCUGACCAACAUGGUGAUGGAACAGAAUGGAGCUGGUAAAUCUUCAUUACUUUGGCUGUGGUUUUGCAUAGAUCAAUCAAUAAAAUCCUCCAAGGGAGGUUAUAGAAAUUGAGAAAACUUCAUGUAUGAUUUACUUGUCCCCCUUGUUUAUAUUUCAUGGUAUGCAAAUUGUUCUCUAGUAACAUGCUUCCAUAUGCGGUGUAGACUUAGUAUCAAUUUCUUGUUCUGUAGUAUCAAUUUCUCGUUCUGUUGAGAAUGGGUAUUGUGUUGCCACAAUGCUACUCAGUUUUGCUUUCUGCAUG